CUUUAGUUAGCCAGUUGUCCCCUGAAGAAAUCCUCAGCCUGUGAAUCAUAAAGCAAACGACAGGUCUCCCACAUAUUUCUAAACAUUUCGCUUUCCAAUCACAUCAGCCAAUUUCAUUCUUUAAUGGAUUCACUCACAAUUGGUAGGACUUCCUCCUAGACCAAAGGUUGUUUUCCAACUUCUUGAAGUACUCUGAAACUCAUCAAAAACAAUUCUCACCUGAAAACCA
Pelobates cultripes (western spadefoot toad) is the source of this 229-nucleotide non-coding RNA. Lineage: Eukaryota; Metazoa; Chordata; Amphibia; Anura; Pelobatidae. The record is from the annotation of a GenBank genome assembly.